AAAGUAUUGUACUUCUGUUCAACUGCAUCUAUGAGCUUGUAGGUGCAAUUCUUGAUGGACAAAAUUUCCAGUCCAUUGACAAAUUAGAUAUAUUUCAGAAGCGGAUGGUGGAAGACUUUAAGCGUAGUGUUUAUAAAAAUUUGAAUUGUCUAGCUCCCCUUGAGGACCAUUCUUUGAUUGGCCAAGCAAUCCUUACAUCUAAUCUGCAGAAUGGCCUUAAUCAUAUUCCUAGUUCAAGCCAACAGAAUAUGAACUACUCAGAUGAACAAGGUCAAGUGGAGUUCCAG
Molecule: unclassified non-coding RNA, 287 nt
Filed under: Hevea brasiliensis (rubber tree)
Lineage: Eukaryota; Viridiplantae; Streptophyta; Magnoliopsida; Malpighiales; Euphorbiaceae
Source: RNAcentral